RNAcentral lists this small RNA (728 nucleotides) under Pongo abelii (Sumatran orangutan). RNAcentral's name for it is "retained intron". Lineage: Eukaryota; Metazoa; Chordata; Mammalia; Primates; Hominidae. The record is from RNAcentral.
CCCCGCCGUCAGCAGACUCAAGCAAGGAGAAUGUGGAGAAGGGUGCGGGCGGGCCUUGGCCUCUGUGGCCCCGCGGUGACUCCAAACACCCACUCCCACCAGGUCGCCAGUUCUGUGCUUCCCGCGCCUACGAGAGCAGCCGCGCAGAUGAGCUGUCCGUGCCCGCAGGGGCGCGCGUGCGCGUGUUGGAAACGUCAGACCGCGGCUGGUGGCUGUGCAGGUACGCGGGAGCGGGCACGGGCAGGGCAGGCUAGCCGAGGCGGGCGGGGCCCUAACCACACCCCGCCCCUCGCAGGUAUGGCGACCGGGCCGGCCUACUCCCCGCGGUGCUGCUGCGGCCGGAAGGGCUGGGCGCGCUCCUGAGCGGGACGGGGUUCCGCGGAGGAGACGACCCGGCGGGUGAGGCCGGGGGCUUCCCCGAACCCUCCCAGGCCACCGCCCUUCCUCCCACCGUGCCCACCCGACCUUCGCCGGGCGCCAUCCAGAGCCGCUGCUGCACCGUCACACGCAGGGCCCUGGAGCGGCGCCCACGGCGCCACGGCCGCUCUCGAGGGUGCGUGGACUCUGUGCCGCACCCCACGACGGAGCAGUGAGCGCGAGGAUCCCGAUGAGGGGAUGGACCGCGCCAUCCCAGGGCUGGGGAGGAGCGGGGAAGGCGGAUCUCCCUGGCCAGCAGGGAUGGGAGGGGGUCAUUGGCUGUUCCUCUGAGUAAAGCUUCUUCUGAAUGA